GACGAACGCUGGCGGCGUGCUUAACACAUGCAAGUCGAACGAUGAAGCUGGAGCUUGCUCCGGUGGAUUAGUGGCGAACGGGUGAGUAACACGUGAGCAAUCUGCCCUUCACUCUGGGAUAACUGCGGGAAACUGUAGCUAAUACCGGAUACGAGGCUUGGAGGCAUCUCCAGGUCUGGAAAGAAUUUCGGUGAAGGAUGAGCUCGCGGCCUAUCAGCUUGUUGGUGAGGUAAUGGCUCACCAAGGCGACGACGGGUAGCCGGCCUGAGAGGGUGACCGGCGGCGCUGGGACUGGGACACGGCCCAGACUCCUACGGGAUGCAGCAGUGGGUAAUAUUGCACAAUGGGCGAAAGCCUGAUGCAGCAACGCCGCGUGAGGGAUGAAGGCCUUCGGGUUGUAAACCUCUUUUAGCAGGGAAGAAGCGAAAGUGACGGUACCUGCAGAAAAAGCACCGGCUAACUACGUGCCAGCAGCCGCCGUAA
RNAcentral lists this ribosomal RNA (483 nucleotides) under uncultured bacterium. RNAcentral describes it as "partial 16S ribosomal RNA". It matches the Rfam family "Bacterial small subunit ribosomal RNA", at positions 28 to 523 of the family's 1533-position model. The record is from RNAcentral.